GGUGGCGGGGUCAGAGGGGCGGCGCGAACAACGGGGCGUUUCAUCCCGAGGUGGUGAGGUUGCCAGGGCCCCGCCUGCCCCACGCCCGCCAGGCCAGCUCUGCGUUCUCACGCCGCGGGACACGCGACGCGAGUCCCCCGGGCAGGGCCCCCACUCACGGCUCCCGAUACUCCAAGGACUGAACAACUGGCAUAAGAAAGGCCUGAUUCCCUUCCAGAUGUCCCCCAAGGACUGAAGCGUUCGGGAAACCACACUGCUCCCUAAUGAAGCCCAGCAACCACUCCUGUCCACAGCUGUGAGUGAGGCUGUGAGUGUAGUUCGGGUUAGGUCCUGAACCCAGGAGGGGCUGAGAGUCCCUGGGAUCUGCAAUAACCACCUCAGGCCAGUGUGGGAUGUUGAUCUUGGAAAGAGCUUCUCCAGCCUUAAUCUCUGAGUCAGCGCUCCCGGAAGUUCCAUAUUUUCUUUAGUGCGUAAGAAACUACCCUCUACCACCAGCAGCGCCAUAUGUAAGCUGGUACAACCAGUUUGGAAAAUUACUCAGCAAAAUCCACAGAAGCCGAACAUACAUACAUCCCUAUG
Molecule: long non-coding RNA, 579 nt
Organism: Neofelis nebulosa (Clouded leopard)
Lineage: Eukaryota; Metazoa; Chordata; Mammalia; Carnivora; Felidae
Exons: 3
Source: RefSeq, a predicted model, not a curated record